GGGUGGGGGGGCGGGGUGGGGAAGUUUUAAGAGCCAGCAGUCAUCACCUCCCAUGCCCCCCACCCUUUGGCCGCUGGGAUUCCGGCGGCAUGUGGAGGGAGCUUCUGGCCCAGCUUCCGGUGAGCCGCCGCCUGCCCACACCUCGAGGCCUCUGCUGUGCCAGGGAGGCUCCGACUGACCCCUGCACGAGGCCCACGUCCGGUCACUUGGCCGCCUCAGGAUAGCGGCCUUCCCGGAGCGGCCGCCUCCCGUCCUCGCGCCCCAGCUUCCGGUCCAGGUCCUGCUGUGCCCCACCUGGGUGCAGCCCGCCCGGAGUCCACCGCGGCGAGGCCCUCCAGCGGGCCUGGAGUCGAGCCCCUGGGGCGGCGGGCCCUGGGCCGUCCGGGCGAGCUCCCGAGGCAGCGCCCCCGCUCCUCGCCCCUCCACGAGGCCGGCCUCGGGGGCCCGGCCUGGCGCCGCCAGGCCCCAGCGCCGCGGGGGCACUUGGUCCUGUUGGGUUGGCGCGCUGGGCACGGUGAGUAGGCGCCGCCGUCCCGUCCGAGAGCCGCUGUCCCUCCGUGUGCAGGCGCGCCCGGCCCCCGGGCCCCAGUUGGGGCGGGCUAGAGAGCGGGGCGCUCGACCUUCCAGCGGCCUGCCGGCCUUCGAGGGAGCGCGGCCUGGCGCGUCCGCGUUACGUGCUUACGUCAGCUCCCGGGCGCCCUCCGAGUGUGGCUGCCGUGCCGAUGGCCCGCGGGCGCCUCAGGGUUAACGCGGGGAACCGAGGACGGCCUGCCGACAGCCAGCCCGGCCUCAGAGGCAGCGCCGCCCGCGCCUCCUUCCCUCAUGUCGCCUCUUCUCGGCAGAAGUCUGUGUCCAGCCCCUGUUGGCCGGUGAUCCCAGCGUCUCCGCGUGACACUGCCGGAUGGGGUCGUUUUUACUCAAACAAACAGAAGAGCGUUCGGCGUGCCUCAGUUUCUCUUGCAGCAGUUCCCACUCAGUUCUCUUUACUUGGAUUGGCAUCGGGAUCAGAGACCAAACUUUCAGUAACAUCAUAAAAACGUAAAAAGCAACAACCAGCAAGUCUUACGGGAAAAGAAAGUGUCUCAAGUCCAGGAAAGAAAACUGAGGAAAAGCAGCUGUCAUCACACUCAGCCUUUCUGAGCCAUUAAUUUUGUUGUAGACUUCUCCAGAGCAACUCCGUUCUCUAUCCCUGCUCAGCUCACUUGUGGGAGAACAGAAGGUCAGCAUUUUCUCUGAACACAUCAUGCAUUUUGACUUGGGCAGCACUAGCUUUCAUACAAAACAGCUGAAAUAGGGAAUUCCGGUUUGUGUUCUUCACCAGCAGGGCCGUCUGUAUCCGCUUCAGCCUGGGGAGCAUCUGUCCCCAGGCCCUCCCUCCUUUUGUUUCCUAAGGCUCCAUCCUUGGCUCUUGCUGGCACCAGGCUGCCCAUGCUCUUGUGCAAUGGAUAUGAUUUGGGGUGAACUGAAUGUUGCUACCUGAUCUCAUUCCCUACCUUGGUGUUGCCCCCUCUCUGAUCAUCUUCAGCCUUGAAAUCCCCACAGGAACUCCUGUUGUCAGGCUCUCUGUCCUCCACUACCUCAAUUCACAAUUCUGCUCCUCAGUUCACAGGCUGCUGCUAAGUGCUGUGAGGAAGUUUACAGGGUGACAGGAGAGACAACAAGAGGAGGGACCUACUCAGAGAGGGUGGUGUGGGGCUGAGGACUCCCGGGGCUGACCCUGCACACCCCGGGGAUCUUUUGGUUCAGCUUCUAUGUCUUAUGUGUCUGUGUAUCUUAGAUCACUCCCCUGGGCAAUCCUGCCAAAUGCAUUGCUUCCCUUAUCUCCUCCAUGCAGGCAAUCCUCUCUUCUGAGCUCAAGUCCUGUGUUUCCAGAACUGCCUUGGUAUCUUCUUCUGGGUGCCCACUGGCCCCUCAGCUACAACAUGUCCCAUAUCCACCUCCCGUUUUCCAAUUCCUAUUUUCCAUUCCAGCAUUGCCCCUUUCAGGUCUCAGGGCCUUUGUCACAUCGCUUCUUGCUAGAGUGCAUCCCCAGCUCAGCUACAUUCUGCAUGGCUCCUCCUCAUCCUUCUGGGUUUAGCGUAAUGUCACCUGUACAGAGAGUCUGUCCCAUACCACCCUCUCUGAGUAGGUCCCUCCUCUUGUUGUCUCUCCUGUCACCCUGUAAACUUCCUCACAGCACUUAGCAUCACUUGUACUUAUUUGUUUUAUCUUUUCCUUGUCUGUGGUCUGAAUUCCUGGUUGGAUUACAAGCUCCAUAAGGCAGGACCUAAGUCUGUUGUUUUCAGCACUAAAUACUCCGAGGGCAGUGCCUGGCACAUAGCAGGAGCAUUAGGACCGUGUGGUGAAUGGGCGGAUGGACUUUGCUGCCAGCCAGUCCCUGAACUUUGGAGUCAUGUUGACUUUCUCCUCUCCUUUGCUCUCCAAAUCCAAUCUCAAGCCUGUUAACUCUCUUGCUCUAAACCAGGCCCUCAUUUCUGGAUUAUUACCAUAGUCUCCUAAUGAGUGGCCUGUUUUAUCUGUUCCCUCUUAGUCUUUGUUACCCAUUACUGCCUGGUGACUUUUCUUGAAGUAUUUGUCAGGACUAUUACUUUUCAUAGUCAAACGUCUUGUACUUCCCUUGUACCUUAACCUGGCAUUUGAGGUUUCCCAGUUUUGUUUUCCAUCACUUCCCUUCCCAUACUGUCUGUCUAGUCAAGCUGCAUCUCUCGUGCACCAUUCACACCCUGCCAACAUGCCUGUGCCCAUGUAUUUCCAUUAGCUGUACCCUCCUCCACCUUAGUUUGUCCAUCCCCAAGCCCACACCCCUGUCCCCAGCUAGAAUUAGAUCCUAUUCUCUCAGAGUUUUCUGAGUUUUAUCUUUGCUCUUUAAUGACACAUCACUUUCUACCUUGUAGUGUUUGUUUAUACACAUGCUGUUUUCCUAGGUGAACUGUAAACUCCUCAACAGAGAGGACUAUGUACUUUUUGCGCUUUAUUUAUUCAAUACCUAGAAAAUUUGAGUUCAAUAAAUACUUGCUUAAUGAAUGCACAAGUGAUAUGUAAUCUCCAAGGCAGAUAAGCUACACUAAGUAGGUUAAGAGAUGCCAGGUACUGUGAAAUGUGGGAGUGGAACAAAUAAGAUUCCGUAGUUCAGGACCAUUGUAGCUCUUCUCUCAAAAAGGGCUCAUCUACUGGGGAGGUCCAAGGCUUCUCCAUUACCUUCCUCUUUGGACCUUGAACUAGCCAUGAGGACCCUAGCUCAGAGGCCAUGUCAGAGAUGGGUCUGAUGCCUGGCUUCAUGUCGUCUUUCACCCUAUUAUCUUAGCUUAGAGCUGACUGGACAAAAUUUUGCUGAAACCAAAAAUGACCACAAGAAACUUGGAUCUAGAUUGGAACUGGCCUAAUGGAGAAUGGGACAGUUACCAAUUUUCCUUCAUCUUCCUAUUCCUCUCUCCUUCUCAGACAUUAGGAUCUAAGUCCUAUUCAAAUUAUAAAACAUGAUUUUAUUUUUAAUCAGAAAAGUUAAAAUGGUUGUUUCUGAGACAUGGUUGGUAUAUAUAUUUUUUCCCUUGAGUCUCAGGAAAUUUUAUUAGCAGAACCUAUAGCAGGGUGGGAAAUAGACAUAUCUCGAGUACUGAUUCCGGGUGCUUAGUAGAGGAUCUCUGGAGUGCCAUUUCUCAAUGAUUUCUCAUCUAGUGCCCAAGUGUCAUGAUUUAUUAUUAAUGUCUGCCACGGGUGCAGGAGGAGAGAGCAGGACACACAUGUUCUUCUAUUUGGUCAGCAUGUGAUCAUUGAGCCUUUACCACACCAGGCACUUUGCUGAUCACUGGAGAUGUGAGUCCAAAAGAGAAAGGAAUGAUUCUGCUUCAUGUAAUUCACAGGCUUGUGAGGAAGGCAGGCAAUUAAAUUAUGCAGGUGUGAAGCAUUUUGUGAUGGGGGGGUAUGUAGUGCUUUGGGGAGAACAUGAUUGAAAAGAAAUAGCCCUAUGAAGUGGUAUUAUUAUUAUCUCUGUUUUACUUCUGAAAAUGAACUUGUCCAGGGUCAAACAGCCAAAAAUUGCAGAAUUAGAAUUUUUACCCAAGAUAGUCUUACCUGAAAGCUCCUAUUCCUGUGUUAUUACUGUGACUUUUCACUUUAUAUGAGAUGUGAGAAGUGGUAUACUAGAGUCAGCUUGUGCUGUCUCAUGAGAGGUGGUUGUGUGUUUUCAGGAAUUUUGCAAGUCUUUUGACGUCAUGUUGAACUUGAAAUCAGCCAUUGUGGGAGUGAUUUACACCAUAGAAAUUGGCGUCCACUACAAAUCAAGCUUUUUUCUUCCCCAAAGAGCUGGUGGUUAAGCAUUUGUCAGCACACCACUGGUUGUGCAAUACUACCACAUUCUUGAAAAAUUCACAAAAUAUAGUUGGACUUUUAUAAAGAGGUAAAUCCAGUGGAUCUGAAUUUUUAUUGGCAUAAGAAUCAUUUUGGAAGGUGGAGGGCUUGUUAGAAGGGGUUUGGGUUCAGUAGGUCUGGACUAAGGGCAGAAAUUCACAUUUUUAAAAAAGAUCCAAGGAGAUCAGAUGCUGACAGAAAUGAGAACGCACUUUAGGAAAUACUUGAAUGGUUCCAUUUUUUGCAUAUUAAAGGUGCUAGAUUAACUCCCUAGGUCACUGUUUCCAGCUCUGGCUACACAUUAGAAUCACCUGGGGAGCCGAAACAAGAUACCAGUGCCCAGGCUCCACCCCAGACCCAAUUAAAUAAGGACCCUAAUCAAGGAGUUGGUGACAUGUGACCAAUUGUAUUUCAGAAUUGUUAUGGACAAGUUACUUCUCUGUGACUCUUGUUGUCCCCCUCCCUACUUUUGAACUUGAGUGUCUGCUACGAUUAUCUCAGUGUGAUCAUUAUAUGUUGGGUGUAUGGGGUAGACAACUUGGCUUUUUAGCUGAUAGGUCUUUAGAUUGAGAGAAUCACACCUGUUUGCCUUAUCUGUACCUGGACAUGAUUUAGAAGAUGAGAUCCUGGAUCUCCUAUCUGUUGCUAUGAUGAGAUGAGCUCUUAGGGUCAUGGGAGGGAGGGCGUGUGUUUUCUGUGUGAGAGGAAUAUAAAUGAUUAGUGGUUAGAGGAUGGACUGCAGUAGAUUAGAGAUGGCCACAAAGUCUUUGAUACUUCUCCCACCAAGAGGUGGGAUCUCUUUCCCCUUCCUGUGGGUCUGGCACCAAUAGAGAAUGGCAGAAGCAAUGUUGGGCCAGUCAUGAGCCUAGCUUUUUAAACAAAUGGCAAUUUGGUAGUUUCUGUCAGGUUAUUGAGCCCUGAACUACCAUGUAAGAAAUCUGCCAUAUAGGAAGACUGUGUCAAGAUUUACUGAGCCUUCAUGGGGAAAGAGAGACCAGCUGAACCCAGACUCCCAUUUGCUCCCAUCCGUGCAUCAUGCAUGUGAGUAAAGCCGUCUUAUAUCCUCCAAACUAGUCCAGCUGCCAGCUGAAUACCACCACGUAAUCCCAGAUGACACCACUUGGAGCAGAAGCAUCACUUGGUUGAGCCUUGCUCAAAUUCCUGUCCCUCAAAACUGUGAGAUUACUAAAUGGCCCUUGUUUUCAGCUACUAAGUUUUGUGGUAGUUUGUUACACAACAUCACACAACCAGAACUCUCCCGCAAGUGAUUCUGAGGUGCAGCCUAGCCAUUCAGAAAUAGUUCCACCUGGGUAGCUACAAAGACUUUUCCCCCCGGUUCCUUAUCCACACAUUGCCCAACAUUUGCUUCAUUUUCCACCUAAGUAAACUUUUUUUAUGUGGCAAAAAAAAAGAUGUGUCAUGCAUUUGGAGGAGAUAAUCCAUAACAUUCAAUAAAGUAUCAUGGACUCUUUGAGACGAAACACUGGAAUAUGAGUCAGAAACCUUGACUUUUUUCCUAACUUUGAUAUCACUAACUCUCAUGACCUUGGGCAAAUCGUAUAUGUUUUUCCAAUCUUCUUAUUAUAUAUUUUUUAUUUUUAUUUUUUUUGAGGAAGAUUAGCACUGAACUAACAUCUGCCAUCCAUCCUCCUUUUUUUUGCUGAGGAAGACUGGCCCUGAGCUAACAUCUGUGCCUGUCUUCCUCUACUUUAUAUGUGGGACACCUGCCACAGUGUGGCUUGACAAGCCAUGCAUAGGUCCGCAUCUGGGAUCCGAACCAGUGAACCCUGGGCUGUCGAAGCGGAACUGUGCACUUAACCACUGCAUCACUGAGCCGGCCCUCAGUCUUGUUUUUGAUAUUUGUAAAAUGAGUAAUUUAGACUAAAUUGUCUCUAAGUUCCCUUUCACUUGUGGAAUUUUGUGACAGUCGGUGUAAUGAUGUGUAGAAAGUAACUAUCAAGGGGGGGGAUUAUUUUCACAAAAAACACACAACUCAUCAGUCUACUCUUGAUCCCCACUGAUUCAGUUUAGAUUUAUGCCCAUCCACCCAGGGGUGGAAAGCUUUGUGUUGACAUCACUAAUAAUUUCUUCAGGCACUUACCUUCCUCAGUAUGCAUGCCUAUUUUAAAUGCACAACAUUCAAGAAGAAAGGAAAAAACAAAGCUCAACAUCCUUUCUUUUACCCCAUAAAAUUCUGUAGACACUUCGUGCUCAGCAUCAUUGUGCAGGCAAAAGACGCUGCACGCCAUGGGCUGUUCUGGUGGCGUAAGAGAAACAGUAAUGAAAUUCAAGACAUGUAAGUUUGGAUUUACAAUUUGGCAGCAGAUCCCUCUGUGAGUCUUCAGAACAUAUCCAUCUCACCUUAGUGACAUGUUGAAAGUAGAAGGAAAGCAUCCUUUGUGUGGAAAGCUGAAAUAUGUGCCAUCCUUGGACUGUAAAUAUAGUCACUCACUUCCUCCAGCUCCAGUUUAGCCCACUGACCUUUCCCAAAGUCUUCUUUUCUGGCCUCUAGCAGUAGCAGAGGAGCAAACCCAUUGCUGCUAACAAUAUACAUUACAGCAUCUUGAAGGCUGAAAAUUUUCAGUUCCAUGAAAACUGGAAUCAUUUCUUCAAUUCCUUUAUUUUUAAAAAUCAGACAUAACUUCUGUAGAAGUUCAUGUAUUCCUGCUGGUUAAAAUCAAAGUCAAACUCUGUACAUGCCACAGGGAAUCAUCAAAAGAACUGUUCUUUUCCCCCAGAAGUCAGACCAUAAGGACUCCCCAGUAAGAAGAUUUCUCUCGUCCUUCCCUCGGUACAGAAAACAGCAGUACAAAGCAUGACCGGCAUGGUGUUUGCUACCCUUGGGUGGCAGCUGCUAGAGUGCAAUGUUGCCGUCUGUAUUGAAGGGGCCUUUUAUUCCCAGCUGCGUGAGCCAAGCCACAGGACUUGCAAGAAUGCUUGGGGUGUUUUCUGUGAACUUAGGACACAAAGAAUCUGUGGUGUGGCUCUGAAAUAGGAACCCCUGAAGAGAGGAGAGCUGAAAGGGACUUUUAUUAUGCCAGUAAGAACAUUGCUAUUCUUAUACAGAGUAUGUGUGCGUGAGUGCAUGCAGAAGACAGCUCAUAUGUGUGUUCAUGAGGAUAUAGAUAUGCUGUCUCUUUUUUUUUUUGAGACAAUUGAGGUUAUUGUUUUCAAAACCUAACCCAGAAGAGUGUUGGAAUGGCUCAGGGGGCACUGAGCCAUCAUACCUGCGAUUGACUAAGUUCAACAAGGGAACUGCAGAAUUAGAGAAGGAGCCUGUGUUUUUCUUGUUAAUGGUUAAGCCAUUGCCCCUGAUAAGAAAUUUUCAAAGUUUACAAAUGGCAAAAUGAUCACUCAGGCUGGAAAUCCUUCCAAAAUAGACUCCCUGCUUCACUCAAUAUUGAGCAAUUUUGGGGGCUGGCCCCGUGGCCGAGUGGUUAAGUUCGCGCGCUCCGCUGCAGGCGGCCCAGUGUUUCGUUAGUUCGAAUCCUGGGCGCGGACAUGGCACUGCUCAUCAGACCACGCUGAGGCAGCGUCCCACAUGCCACAACUAGAAGAACCCACAACGAAGAAUACACAACUAUGUACCGGGGGGCUUUGGGGAGAAAAAGGAAAAAAUAAAAAAAAAAAAAAUCUUUAAAAAAAAAAAAAAAAAAAGCUUAAAAAAAAAAAAAAAAAAAAAAAAUAUUGAGCAAUUUUGGUAUGCAGGGGCUCUAACUGAAGUUGUUUUCUAUGAAACAUUCGAAUUGAUAUGCUUCCAACUCAUUGUCUCUUUCCUCAGAGGGCUGUGGAACAGUCCCCAGGAAUACCACCUGGUACACAGAGUGAAAGGCUUUGAACAUUUUCAUUCACAUCACUCAGAGAAACCAUCACAGACGCUGGAGGUUUUUGAGAUGAUUAAUGUGUGCAUUCAUAGCCUCUCUUUCUUAGCCAAGGCUGCAGUGAAAAGUGAACUUGAGUUUAUAGUUCAUGUCCUUAACUGAAACAUAGAUUUAGGUGUAGAGAAGUGUAGCUGUAAUGCAAGCAAAACCUUGAAUUUCACCUGAAGUAAGUGGUGGACUCUGUUAGUUAUUUUUCCUCUUAGCAGUUUUUUCCAAAUUAUAGAUGGAUUUAUGAGCAGUUUAAGAUAAAGGGACCCUGAGGAUAGAUUAAUUUUCCUUAAUCUCAUCUAACUAAAAACUAGAGGUCAGAAGCAGGUAGAAUGGUUUUUGGAUGUCAGGCUAGAGUUCCUGGUGAGAUUGCUUAUGUGGAGAGGAAGCACGCCUUUUAAAUGCAGCCACUUUGUGAGGGUGUGUUAAGCGAUGCAAUCUGAAUAAGGCUUGUACUGCAUUACUCCCCUUCCAGCUGGAGACUACCAGCAAAGUGAGAUAGUUCCUUGUUUAAUUUGAUGAUGGUGCUAAGUAAAAAAAAUAACAACCACAACCUCUUCUGAUUUAGAGAAUCUGAAGAAGACAAGAGGUAGCAGAAAAUAUUGAAAUUAAAAUACAGCAAUGGCACUGUUAUUCAGAUUGGUCCAGUUCUUACUGACCCAGUAUUGAAAAGAGGGAGAGUGGCAGAGAUGCUCCUUUGGUGAGGGUCCAGCCUCAGGAUCAAAUCCACCUGCCCCUCUGGCCUGAUCACAUGCACAUAGAUAGUGUGUGGAUCCCUGGCAGUUAGAGGAGACUUAGAAUUUAUAAGAUUUUUUUUCCUGAAGAGCUGUUAAAUAUGAUUAAGUCAAGUGAAACUCAGGAAAAUUCCCUUUUCUUUUUGCAAAUAGAAAGGUAGAGGAAUUCACAGUGAUCUGAAACACAAAAUUGUCAGUCAUGAGAUCAUUCCUCUGCUUUGACCUUUGCAAAUGAUGAGUUGAAUGACCUUUCCCAGUAUGACACAUGGGGACCAAAGCCUAGAACUCAAAGACACUUGGGGGCCAUGUUAAUUGUUAACUUCAUGAUUUCCACACCAAAUAUGCGGCUUGCUCUUAAGCAUUUACGAAAACAGUUUUAUUGGCACAGGAAACCUAAAAAUAGCCAUAGCCUUGAAUACUCACCUCACUGAGCCUGGGCACCAACCAAACUGCAGAAUCAAGGAUUCAGUCAGUCUCUGGGAAGAACUGGGAUUAUGUCUGCUCAGUGUGCUGGGUGUAUGGCUAGUGCUGAGAAAGCAGGCAAGUUGAAGGUCUCCAUGCCAGGGGCUCACCCCAGAGGACAGAGCCCAUCUGGAAGUCAGAUCUAAAAGAAUCCCAGCCAUUUCUGCUGCUGGCUUUUGCAUGCGUGAGUGGACAAUUCACAAAAAAAGAUAUAAAAAAUGGCCUUCAAACAUAUGAAAACUGCUCACACUCCUCAAAAUUAGAGGAAUACAAUGAAAACAAUGGCGAGAUACCAUUUUUUCCCUAUUGGAUUAGCUAAACUUAAUAAAUUUGGCAACAUAUUCUGUUGAUGAAGCUGUGGGGAAAUAGGUAUUCGUAUACAUUGCUGGUAGAAAAUCAAACUGGUACAAAUUUUCUAGACUGAAAUUUUCCAAUACCUUGAAAAACUACAGAUGCACCUACUGUUUGACCCAGAAAUUACACUUUUAGAAAUCUAACCCCAAAUGCACUGCCAAUGGUAUGAAAACACGUGUAUAAUGUUCGUUGAAGCAUCAUUUAUAAUUGAGCAAUGUUGGAGACAAUCUAAAUGCCCAUACAUAGGAAUAUGAUUGAAUACACUGAUUCAUCAACACAUGGAGUACUAUGUAACUGUAAAAAGGAAUAAAAAUGUUUAUGAAAUGAUAGGGAGUGAUUCUGGGACAUAUUAAGUAAAAAAAGCAAAUUGCAAAGAAUAUCUGUAAUACUACUCUUCAUGUGAGAAAAAAUAGGAUAUCCAGAGCAUAUCCAUAUAUCUGCUCAUUUGUGCAAAAGUAAUACAGAAAGAAUAAACCAGAAUGGAGUGAGAUUGGUUACCUACAGGGAGUGGUUGAAAACAGGAAAGAAUGGGGAAUGGGAAAAGAGUAGUGGAGAUGUGAGCAGCACUUCUCUGAAUAUAUCUUCCUGUACCUCUCUGACUCGGAGAACCAUGGGAAUGCUUCAUAUAUCCCUCCCCCUAAUAGUUAAUUAAAUUCAACCAGGAUGUUGAGGGAACCCAAAGUAGAACACAAUAGUAAGAGAAGAACUAACCUAAGUAACAUUGGAAAACAGUAUUUUGACUAUAUACUGUGACACUAAAGACGAAAAGAACUAUGCACAAAUAUUGUAAUCUGGUUGGUAAAUGUGUUUGUUGUAGGGGAUUCUGAAACUACUUUAUGUGUCUGCUAGGAUCGAACAAAUAAAUACUUGGUGAAUAAUGAGAGCCACAUUUCUCAACUAGAAGAAAGAAGUUACAAAUAAGGAAGGGGGAAGCAAGAAUGAACCCUGUGGUGUUGGAAUAAGCGGAAUAAGCAUAAACCCAUGAUUUUUGGUGUAUGUACAGAUGGGAUAAAGAAGUAAAUAUCGAUUAUAUUUGCACAUAUUUUCUAGCUCAUAUUUUCUAUACAUGACAUCCCAGUAGCAAUGAGCACACCUAACUCCUGUAUCUUGGUUCCUGAAUACCAUUCUUCAAAAAAAAGGAGCCAAGGUUCCUUGUAGAUUGGUCAACUCUAACAUUAAGCCAAGGAAAAUAUACAAUUAGUCUGGAACAUUGUGUGGGGCCAGAAAGUAAGGAAAUACUCGAAAACUAAUGGGGCCAUGUUGAAAGGACACAGCUGCCAACUUGAAAGAGUGCCACAUGGUGAAAAUUGGGAUAAUUUGAGCAAUAACAAUGAUAGUAAUGGGAUAUACCCCAUAGAAUAAAGUAACUGUGAGUCCAAAUUGAUAUAAAUAAUUGAAUGAACCUUUCAGUCUGUGAGAAAGGACCAUUCUUCCUUAGAGUAGGAUUCCAAUUAAUAAAUGUAGAUGAAAUGGUGGAAAUAAAAGUCACUGUCAGGCAAACAGUAAUAACUUGCAGGCAGUAACUGUCAUUGGUGUUAUAAUUAAUGAGCAAAAGUACAGUAAGAAGGAUUAUUUGCAUAGUAUCAAAAUUUCUCUCCUAUAGAUUUCAAAGGGAAAAGCAAUGUCUUUAUAGUGGAAAAACCUGGCAGACACUGCCGUGGCCAUGUGACCGAAGUUAACAGCACCAGUAACAGGACAUACAGAUGUUGUGUAGCCUUUGAUGCAGUACACUGAGAAGGGCACAGCAUAACCUUGAUGGUAUUCUCACAGGAAAAAAGUGCAAUUAUGAGAAAUCAUCAGACAUCCAAAAUUGAAGGACACUUUGUAAACUAACUGGCCAGUAUACUUCAAAACUGUCAAGAUGAUGGCAGAUAAAAAAAGACUAAGGGACUUUCACAGAGUAGAGGAGAUUUAGGAGAUGUGACAACUAAAUACCACCUGGCGUCCUGGAUUGGGCCCUGAGCCAGAUCUUAUUUGAAUUUUAUCAAUUUCCCCAGUGGUCCAUGGAUUGGUUAGUAGUACUGUAUGAAUGUUAAUUUCCUGGCUUUGAUAAUUGUACUAUGGUUUUGUAAGAUGUUAAUGUUAGGGAAGUGGGAUGAGGAUAUCAGGGAAUCCUGGACUAGUUUUGCAACUUUUCUGUCUAAAGUUAUUUCAAAAUAAAAAUUAAAAAGCAAUAGCUGGUAAAGAGGAACAAGGGGAGACACAGAAUUAUUUGCCUUUUUUAGAAGCCUUAAGAGGCCAAGUCUUGAAUUGUUACAACUGAAAAGAGUAGCAACCACAUAUGGUCUUGUUUACUUUAACCUAAAUCUUAUUUAAAUCAUCCAUAUUCAGAGAAUGCUGUUUAAAAACGACCCAAACAGGGGCCAGCCCAGUGGUGUAGUGGUUAAGUUCACACACUCUGCUUCAGCGGCCUCGGGUUCACCAGUUCAGAUGCUGGGCAUGGACUUAGAACUGCUCAUCAAGCCAUGCUGUGGGGGCAUCCCACAUAAAAUAGAGGAAGAUAGGCACAGAUGUUAGCUCAGGGACAAUCUUCCUCACCAAAAAAAAGACCUGAACAGAUGGACUAGUUUUUCCUCCUUUGGUGAAACACAGCUAGAAAUAAGAGAUAAGCCAGAGACAUUAGAUGUUCAUGUCUCAAAUUCUGUGUACGAAAGUCCUUAUGCUUUGCUCCAAGGAGAUGCCCUCAGUCCUCUUCUGGGCCUGCUCAUUCUCCCUUCAUACGUAGUCCUAUCAGAGUUGGCUCUGGUUCUGUGGCUUGUAGUAGAUGAGAAGAGAGUAAUGUAUCUGAUUACUAUACAGGCAGAUCUGUGGUGAGUGACCCCAGUAGUGCAUGCACUGAGUCAUAAGGUUUUGUAAAUUUUGCAAAGGUUAGGCCUGCCUGUUGCCCCUCUGACUCGCCCUGGAGCACGCUUCACCUCCUGUCAGAUAGUGCUGGAGUGGCUGCAGGCAUCUCUGAGCUGCAGCUCAGUAAAGUUGGUUAGGGUUUAUUGGGAUAUAUUUGUAUAUUGUGCAGUCACGUCUGUGUAUUGCUUAUCAUUGCUAGCUGACCCGCAGUGGGAGUGUCCUCCGUGAACUUGCCCAUUGUCCAACUGUAUCUAAUUUUGUAUCUGUCAUUUUCUGUUCUUUUUCUGAAAGAACACCUCUGUUCCCCCUGCUCAUUGUGUGAGCUUCAGGCCCCUAAAAAUUUGAAUCCACCCUUAGCAAUGACACUAAUUUGAAGGAAGAGCUAGUUAGAGAUGUUGUAACAAGGAAUUAAGAAGGGAAAAAGAAUCUUAUUAAUUAAUGUAAACAACAGAUCAAAAAACAUAGUGCUCUGGGGGCGUAGCAGUUGGAGUCCCGGGGUUCGCUAGUUUGGUUCCCGGGUGUGGACCGAGCGCUGCUUGGCAAGCCGUGCUUUGGUGGUGUCCCACAUAUAAAAUAGGGAGAGAUGGGCGUAGAUGUUAGCUCAGGGCCCCUCUUCCUCAGCAAAAAGAGGAGGAUUGGUGGCAGAUGUUAGCUCAGGGCUAAUCUUCCUCCUCAAAAUAAAACCAAAAAAACCCUAGUGCUCUGGGGCUAUUUAGCAUGUGGAUUAAGAUCCAACAAACUUUGGUAGCUCCUAAGGCCAUCAUUGUAUUGAAGCAUGUGUGAUAAUUGAUAUUAGUGGUAAUGAUCCUGAGUCAUGAAGAAAAGCUUAAACUGUUGAAUACACUCUGAUAAAAAAUGCAGAGAAGUAUAUAAUUCAUUUAAGGAAGAUUUCCUUUUUAAAUGUUUACAAUAAAAAUGUUGAUGCUUAUACAUCUAAAUCUUCAGUUAUCUAGAAGACAUACUGAAGAAUAGUUGUUUAUCCAGGGAUUUCAGUGGCUGGGGUUUCAGUCUAGUUUGGUUGGGUGAAGCUGUGCUGGUGGGUUACGAUCCUUAUUCUGAAAAUAGAGUAGAGCGUUAGACCAGUCAAUUGGAUCAGAUUUCCUGUGACAGUGACCUGAAUCCUUCCUGCAUGCAUUUUUAGUUUUUCUCACAGAAGAGUUACCAAUGACAUAAAAAGUCCUGGAGAACUAAGAUUUUUGCUAAAGAUGCUUUGUGGAGGUAGAAUGGUAUCAGAGAGGCUAUCGGCCACACAGCCAAACAGAUGCACUUGUACUUGCAAAAAGAAAAAAAAAUCAGACAAAGUAGGACAAAUACUGUAUAAUUUCACUUGUAUGAAAUACCUAGAGUGGUCAAAUUGAUAGAGACAUAAAGUAGAAGGCUGGGUGCUGGGGGUGGGGGCAAUGGGGAGUUAGUGUUUAAUGGUUGCAGAGUUCCAGCUCAGGAAGAUGAAGCAGUUCUGGAGAUGGAUGGUGGCGAUGGUGGUACAACAGUGCGAAUGUGCUUAAUGCCACUGAACUCUGCACUUGAAAAUGGUUAAAAUGGUAAAUUUUGUGAUGUGUAUAUUUUACCACAAUAAGAAAAAGUAAAAAGUAAGGCAACAAUCAAUGAGCAACAGAAAUUGACUGCUUACAAUGUGUCAAGCACGGUACUAAAUAUUACUUCCCGUAUUAUUGUGUUGCCUUUAGCAGCUCAGUAACUCAACAAAGUAGGUAUUAGUUAGUCCCAUUCUCCAGGUGAGGAAACCACGGCCCAGAAAGGCUAAGUAACUGGUCAAGGUCAGAGAGCAGGUAAGUGUUAGGCCCAGGAUUCAGACCCAGGUGGCAGACGUGCUUCACAACGUCAAAAUCUUGCAGACGCAGGUUUGAUCACCAGCAGUACACUCGGCAUGCAGUGAGCAUCUAAUAAAUGUUUAAAAAACCAUUAUUGUCAUGACUGUGAACUGAGUGUGAGAAGUUGGUUCUGUCUUUACUAACUCUUACCCUAAAACUUGGUGCUUUUACCUUUGUAGUAGAAGCACAAAAGCCAUGAUAAAGAAUCAACAUGGAACAUGUCUCCAAUUUAGGCAACACACGAAAGAGCUGGGUUUUGGUGAUAACGCAAAUGAAUCCUUUUUGUCCUGUCGUAAGCCAGUGCCUGGAGUCACCUGAACUGGCUCUUAGGCCUUUUGAGCUGGGGCCCAGCCAGGCCACCGCACAUGUUUGGACUACAUUUUGAUGACUCAGGUUUACUGGAAAGUUCUUUGAGGCCAUGUAAGUAAUAGGGACCAUCUUUGAACCACAUAGUUGAUCUAAGCAUUCUAGGGCAGAAAAGCACAGCAGUGAAGCCUGCUUCAGUCCUGCCCUGCUCUUGUGUCUUUGAAGCUGGGGAGACGGCCCCUCAGGUCUGAGGGCUGGAGGAGGAGGCUCAACCUCAAGCUGCAGAUUCAGCCAGCCUCCCUGCAGCCAGGAGCUCAGCAUGCAGGCUGCCCUUCCUGAAAGUGUUUCCCUUGGCCAACCCGUGAGGACUGCCUCUUGUUAGGCUAAACCCUGGACUGAAAGCUGGUUAUUUUCUCAAACGGUUGCUGGGAAGACUUCUAAGUAUUUGAACCCAUGUCCUUCAGAUUCUAAACCUCAUGCUCCAAACCAAUAACCUUUAACUUUUUGGCUUGUUGAGUUCCUUCCGAUUAUUACUUAACUUUGAGCUUUUCUAAGCAAGCCAGUCAUUUACUGAAGAACCACUACGUUAUGGUGGUGGAGAGUGAGGUGGGGUGGCAACAGCUUCAUUUUAAAUGUGUCAUUUCAGAAGGCUUGCCCCUCUAAUCCAGUGAGGCAUGAACACACCCCCAGGGGCAGGUCUGUGCUCAGGGAUCCAAAUUCUCCUUCUCCAGGCACGCUGGGGUGUGUACGGCCCCAGAGAAGCCCCUAAUCUGAGGAUUUAGCACCGGGCUUCUCAACUCUGGUACUCUUAACACUGGGGGCCAGGUCUUCCUUUUGUGAGGGAGGUACAUUCUAGAUGUAGCAGCAACUUUGACUUCUACCCAUUGGAUGCCAUAGCACACCCCCUGCCCCCAGUUGUGACAACCAAAACAAUCUUGAGACAUUUUUGUGUCCCCUGGGGGCAAAAUCAUCCUGGUUUAGAACCGUGCUUACCAGCAGGCUUGGAGUCACUGCUGCAAAUCCAGCAUCCAGUCUGCUCCUUCUGCCACCAGGCUUCCUCCCCGCUAGGCCUCUUGCAAGGAUGUUUGUGUACUCAGUACCAGCCUGGCCUGGCCUUCUGCUCCACAGCCUGGAACAGGCCCUCACAUGUUCCUAGACCCUGACGCUUCAGUCAGGGGAUCACUGGACCACUCCCAUUUGGAGAACCCUGUCCCAGCAGAGAUCUGUGGAGGUCUGCGUCUGUCAGGACGUCUUCCCUCCAGUUGGUCCCAGUUUCACUCUACCUGGCAUCCAUUUCUCAGAGGCUGAGACUUGGAGUUGUGGCUGUCUCCUAGUUUCACUGAAGAUGGUGCAGGUCUUUAUUUUUCUAUUUUAUUCUUCUAAAAUUUUACUUGGCUUUAGUGAAGGAAGUUAAACUGAACUAUCUAUUCUGUGACCUCCACCUGGAAGCCUUGAUCCAAUUUUACUUUCUGUGUCACACUACUAUGAGAGGGAGAGGAGGAGGGAGAGAUGAGUGUCUGAGCCAGUGCAUGCAGAGCUUUGAUGUGCUCUGCUUCUCCUAUAUUGAUGAUAGAAUUGAGCUAAAGAAGGUGCACUGAGCUCCUCAUAGAACUAUUGAAUUUCAGAAAAACAUGCAAAAAAUCUUAAUUAUGGGAAUAAGAUGAUGGAAAAUUGCUUUAGGAAAUUGCCAUAAAUAUACAGUGCAUUAAAUGUACCUAUUAAUUUUAUUACUACUUAAUGACAGAAUCUUUUCUAUCUCUGUCCACUCAGAUGAAGACAGAAACAUACUCUGUUCUCCAUUUGAGCACCUGAAAGGUCCAGGUUCUCAGGGCCCCAUCCUGAGGCAGGCUCGCUGUCUUCCAUUUGUGUCUGCUCCAGACUUACUGCCGUCAGACAGCCGGCAGGGGUCCCACGGGUCCAGGUGCACAGAUCAUUUUAAUUCAGCUUGUUCUGUGAAGCACAUUAAAUGCUUUUCAUACAUUUAGAUAUCUUAAAAGCGGUUUUGCAUGACAGUGACUAUAAUAAUUCUGGUAUAGGUAGAAAGUGCUUAGUGAUUUCUGGGGGGCUGACCUCAGUGGGGGAUCCCUUUCUCCCCUCAGUCUUCUCCUUGCUCUACUCUCAUCCUUGCUUUCCCUCCCACAUCUUUCCUUCCUCUCCUUUCCCCUCUUCCCUCUUUCCUUUCUUUUCUCUCCUUCAUUCUCUCUCACUCCCUCCCCCUUUCUCCCUCUCUGCACCACCCCUUGCCGUGUGUGUGCACACACCCACACCUCCCCUGUCACACACAUGCAUGCCCCUCCUACUCCUAGCCCUCUUUUUUCUCAGCCCUAUCAAGAGUUUAUAUAUGUCAAGAAAUAGUAAUUUUAG
Equus caballus (horse) is the source of this 17109-nucleotide long non-coding RNA. Lineage: Eukaryota; Metazoa; Chordata; Mammalia; Perissodactyla; Equidae. The record is from Ensembl.